Molecule: ribosomal RNA, 229 nt
Filed under: uncultured bacterium
Lineage: Bacteria
Description: partial 16S ribosomal RNA
Rfam family: Bacterial small subunit ribosomal RNA
Source: RNAcentral
UACGUAGGCGGAAAAUUAAGUCAGUAGUGAAAUCCUGCAGCUUAACUGUAGAACUGUUAUUGAUACUGGUUUUCAUGAAUAUAGUUGAGGUAGGCGGAAUGUGUAAUGUAGCGGUGAAAUGCUUAGAUAUUACACAGAACACCGAUUGCGAAGGCAGCUUACUAAGCUAUGAUUGACGCUGAGGUACGAAAGCGUGGGGAGCGAACAGGAUUAGAUACCCUGGUAGUCC